This 197-nucleotide unclassified non-coding RNA is filed under the name uncultured Chaetothyriales. RNAcentral describes it as "sequence contains ITS1". Lineage: Eukaryota; Fungi; Ascomycota; Eurotiomycetes; Chaetothyriales. The record is from RNAcentral.
CCGAGUCGAGGGUGUCUCUUCGGAGCGCCCGACCCUCCAACCCUUUGUCUACUUGACCUUUUGUUGCUUCGGCAGGCCUGUUCUACCCGAACUGUCGGGGGUGGUAACCCACCCCGGGCGUGCGCCUGUCGACGGCCCCAACCAUUAAACUCAUGUCCAAAACGUGUCGUCUGAGUAAACAAACAUAAUAAAAACCA